UUUUAGCCCAGAUAGUAGCGGCAUCCUUUGUGGCGGGGGUUCCGCCACAAAGAUAUAGCGUAUAGCUGGAAGGAGC
This 76-nucleotide small RNA is filed under the name Flavobacterium crassostreae. Its description in RNAcentral is "Flavo-1 RNA". It matches the Rfam family "Flavo-1 RNA". Lineage: Bacteria; Pseudomonadati; Bacteroidota; Flavobacteriia; Flavobacteriales; Flavobacteriaceae. The record is from Rfam by way of RNAcentral.